Solea senegalensis (Senegalese sole) is the source of this 909-nucleotide long non-coding RNA. RefSeq lists it as uncharacterized. The transcript has 8 exons. The record is from RefSeq and is a predicted model, not a curated record. NCBI's taxonomy places the organism in Eukaryota, Metazoa, Chordata, Actinopteri, Pleuronectiformes, Soleidae.
GACCCAGAGGACCCCCAGAACAAUGCAACGUUUGUGGAAUGUUUUAAAUAAAGUUAUGGUUAAAAAAAGUCAGUCACAGUGCACAUGUUUUCAAUAAUAAGCCCCGCCCCAAACAUUUCAAGCUUUCACACCGGAUUGGCUGACCGUUGUGCCACUAUUUAAACUCCUGUGUUGACAGCUGCACCAGAGGGAGAGGAGAUGCUGACAGAUCACAGAUCAUCAACGCAAACCUGCUGCAAACCCGGACUGGUAUUCAUGGACGGACUGAACUGGAUUCGGUUUGCUGGUUGUGUAAGCUGACCAUUCGUGCCAGUAUUCAAACUGCUGACAGAUCACAGAUAAUCCUGAGUUUAAUCCUUUGCUAAAGAGAGGAAAGUAAGAGUGGACGUAUUAUUGAUACAAAAUCAUCCACCAUUACCCCUCAUCACCAACUACCGUUUACUUGGAAAUAAAAUAUUGGAACUUGGAAAGCUGCCUGGAUCCUGUGUUUAAAUGUGCACCCAACAUAUGAUGUUCAGUGAAUCACCGCCACUAUAGUGUACAGUUUUUUCAUAUUUGUGUCUCCAUCAACAUAUGCAGCGCACCUUUGCACUCAGGCAUGAAGAAACUGGGAAUUCAGCUCCUCCUUGCCAAACUAAAAGAGACACGACCUGCACUCUUUAGUGAAGCUCAACUCUACAGUGAAUUCCACAGAAUCACCAAUCCAUAUCUACCAUUGUCCUUCUACACUGCACUUGACAAAUAUGCACCCCAGCUGCUGAAACUUGAACAGAAGAGGAAGACUGGAAGUUUUGGAUGAGUUGGAAGCAACCCAAGAGGGGCAGUGGCUCUGGUGGCAGUAGUGAAUGAAGAUCAGGUUCCUGCUGGAGUUCCCUUUGAAACUCACCAUGUGUCUCUGGUCCUCACAAU